RNAcentral lists this long non-coding RNA (416 nucleotides) under Mytilus galloprovincialis (Mediterranean mussel). The record is from RNAcentral. Lineage: Eukaryota; Metazoa; Mollusca; Bivalvia; Mytilida; Mytilidae.
AUUCUAUUACAAUUCAAAACAAUUUCAAGAUUAUCUGAUGAAAUGAACAUGCUUGGAUUCCUUCAUCUGAAGAUUUUUUUGCUACUUCAAACCUAUCUAAUUUAUUGCACUCCCUUUUUGAAGAACGGAGGAAUCUUAGAAAAUAUCAAUGUAGUUUGAAAAAAUAUAUCUUUAUGUAAUAAAAUCUAUCAGGAGUUAUCUCCGAUAGAACUAGGAUUAAAACAAUUAUGUAAUUUCUCAAGGUCACAAUCCCACCCAAAAUAACUUUAUUUUUUGUCAAUAACAUGGUUUAUAAUCAUGUUACUUAGUGUGAAUGUGUAAUCAUGUUUUUAGUUUAAAUGUACUUUAAUCAUUCUCAUUCUAAUCAUUUACUGUGCUAUAUUUUGUAAUUAUUUUAUUGUAUAGCUCUAAUUUUG